Molecule: ribosomal RNA, 301 nt
Filed under: uncultured bacterium
Lineage: Bacteria
Description: partial 16S ribosomal RNA
Rfam family: Bacterial small subunit ribosomal RNA
Source: RNAcentral
CAGCAGCCACGGGAAUACGAAGGGGGCUAGCGUUGCUCGGAAUCACUGGGCGUAAAGGGUGCGUAGGCGGGUCUUUAAGUCAGGGGUGAAAUCCUGGAGCUCAACUCCAGAACUGCCUUUGAUACUGAAGAUCUUGAGUUCGGGAGAGGUGAGUGGAACUGCGAGUGUAGAGGUGAAAUUCGUAGAUAUUCGCAAGAACACCAGUGGCGAAGGCGGCUCACUGGCCCGAUACUGACGCUGAGGCACGAAAGCGUGGGGAGCAAACAGGAUUAGAUACCCGGGUAGUCCCUGUCUCUUAUAA